UCGUACCUCGUUACAUAACCGUAAUUUAGAUGUUCACAAUCAUUGUUGUAAAAUGAUUUGUGCAACAUUUCUUAUGGAAUGUGGCGAAGUAUGGUC
RNAcentral lists this microRNA precursor (96 nucleotides) under Gyrodactylus salaris (gyrodactylosis fluke). Its description in RNAcentral is "microRNA gsa-mir-1 precursor". Its record names the gene gsa-mir-1. Lineage: Eukaryota; Metazoa; Platyhelminthes; Monogenea; Gyrodactylidea; Gyrodactylidae. The record is from miRBase by way of RNAcentral.